CUGGAGGUAUCAGAAGUGCGAAUGCUGACAUAAGUAACGAUAAAGCGGGUGAAAAGCCCGCUCGCCGGAAGACCAAGGGUUCCUGUCCAACGUUAAUCGGGGCAGGGUGAGUCGACCCCUAAGGCGAGGCCGAAAGGCGUAGUCGAUGGGAAACAGGUUAAUAUUCCUGUACUUGGUGUUACUGCGAAGGGGGGACGGAGAAGGCUAUGUUGGCCGGGCGACGGUUGUCCCGGUUUAAGCGUGUAGGCUGGUUUUCCAGGCAAAUCCGGAAAAUCAAGGCUGAGGCGUGAUGACGAGGCACUACGGUGCUGAAGCAACAAAUGCCCUGCUUCCAGGAAAAGCCUCUAAGCAUCAGGUAACAUCAAAUCGUACCCCAAACCGACACAGGUGGUCAGGUAGAGAAUACCAAGGCGCUUGAGAGAACUCGGGUGAAGGAACUAGGCAAAAUGGUGCCGUAACUUCGGGAGAAGGCACGCUGAUAUGUAGGUGAAGUCCCUCGCGGAUGGAGCUGAAAUCAGUCGAAGAUACCAGCUGGCUGCAACUGUUUAUUAAAAACACAGCACUGUGCAAACACGAAAGUGGACGUAUACGGUGUGACGCCUGCCCGGUGCCGGAAGGUUAAUUGAUGGGGUUAGCCGCAAGGC
This 644-nucleotide ribosomal RNA is filed under the name Escherichia coli. RNAcentral's name for it is "partial 23S ribosomal RNA". It matches the Rfam family "Bacterial large subunit ribosomal RNA", at positions 1273 to 1900 of the family's 2925-position model. The record is from RNAcentral. Lineage: Bacteria; Pseudomonadati; Pseudomonadota; Gammaproteobacteria; Enterobacterales; Enterobacteriaceae.